Molecule: transfer RNA, 77 nt
Filed under: Verrucomicrobiota bacterium
Lineage: Bacteria; Pseudomonadati; Verrucomicrobiota
Also listed under: 1 other name
Description: Verrucomicrobia bacterium tRNA-Pro
Rfam family: tRNA
About the family: Transfer RNA (tRNA) molecules are approximately 80 nucleotides in length. Their secondary structure includes four short double-helical elements and three loops (D, anti-codon, and T loops). Further hydrogen bonds mediate the characteristic L-shaped molecular structure. tRNAs have two regions of fundamental functional importance: the anti-codon, which is responsible for specific mRNA codon recognition, and the 3' end, to which the tRNAs corresponding amino acid is attached (by aminoacyl-tRNA synthetases). tRNAs cope with the degeneracy of the genetic code in two manners: having more than one tRNA (with a specific anti-codon) for a particular amino acid; and 'wobble' base-pairing, i.e. permitting non-standard base-pairing at the 3rd anti-codon position.
Source: RNAcentral
CGGGGCGUGGCUCAGCCUGGUAGAGCGCCAGCUUUGGGAGCUGGAUGUCGUGAGUUCAAAUCUCACCGCCCCGACCA